This is a long non-coding RNA of Grammomys surdaster, 1379 nucleotides long. RefSeq lists it as uncharacterized. The record is from RefSeq and is a predicted model, not a curated record. Lineage: Eukaryota; Metazoa; Chordata; Mammalia; Rodentia; Muridae. The transcript has 2 exons.
UCAGUCUGGAUACUCUAGGUUGGAUAGCCAGCCUGCCAGUUAAGAGUCUCUCUGGAGUGAAUCACAGUAAGAAUUUGAUGAGGCUGAACCAGGAGUGACUCUGAGUAUAUGUCUUGGUUCCCCCAUCACACCUGUCGAAACACCUAUGGCAUGGAAGUUACCGGGAGCCAGUGUCUCUGUGGCCCUUCAGAAGGACCUCAGGUAGAUGCUGCACCUCCCAUACGGGGCUGGCCAGUAUCCCUUGAGCCCCAUCAAGAAGUUAACAGAAGAGGACAAAGGAGGGGGUGACCCUCUCACCAGAAUUCCCCUGACAGGGUUCCCGGUCUUGGUAAGUCCCUCCUCAUGACAGAUUCUGAGAAUAACAGCGCCCCUGGUGGUUUCUGCUUGGUGGCAUGCUGGUCUUAUGGUGCCCACUCCUUCCCUGGGGGAGAUGCCAAGCAGUCUAGCUGGGUUUAGAGACGCUGGUCCCUGGUGAGUUUUCUCCCUGGGUGGGGUGUGUGUGUGGGGGGACCCGGGCUGCCUGGAGAUUCUGGGAGGUGGUCAGGGACUUUCCUCGCUGAGGUAAACAAUCUGUUGUGUAAGUUCUCAGCUGGGGACCUGUGAUUUGCUGGGGUGGUGGAGAGGACGCAGUGAGGUCAUGGCUGAAAGAUGCUUGGCACUCCCAGUUCAAUGUGAGCUCCCAGCAGGGGAAGAACCAAGGCUCGGGCCAGGAGACCUGAUGUGAGCUAGGUCAAGGUGCUUCUGGUCCCUCGGUCUCCACAUCUUCCCUGUACCAUGUGCCAGGAUGGAUGCCGAACAGAAGGUCCAUAACCUCUAAGCUGUCUAAGGUUUGACUCUCACUGGGGUCCUGUAAGCCAGCAACGAUGGACAGGGCUGGACAGAGCUGGACCGCCCUGCUCAGUGUGGGAGACGAGGCAAAAGUGAACAGAUCCAAUGAGAACUCAGCCAGAUGCACAUGAUGGGGGCAGAGAAGAGAACUCGGCAAGCUGUCCUGUGAUCCACACAUCCCAGCCAUACCUCAGACCGUGGAACUCAGUGGCCUCCUGCUCCUUGUUCCAUAGGAAAUGAAGAAAAAGGAAGUCCCCGUUGUUUGGAAUAUGGCCAACUGAUUUCAAUAUCACAUGUCACUCAAGGCCCGGGCCUCAGAGCCUCUAAGAGUCCUUCCUCCCCAAGAGGCCCUUCAGAACAGAUCCCAGGCCGGCACCAGGAGCCCUGGAUAUGGAAGAGGUGUCCCCUUCGUCCUUAGAACGGCAUGAAGAACUCGGGUGCCUUCAAGUCAACUCUUAAAUAUUUAAUUCCCGUUUAUUUAAAGUCCCAUCAGUCUGUGUACACUAUUUAUAUUAAAAACACAGGAAGCUGGGGCUCCUAGCAAAAAUAUA